UCGAGUUGUUUGGGAAUGCAGCUCUAAAUGGGAGGUAAAUUUCUUCUAAAGCUAAAUACUGGCCAGAGACCGAUAGCGAACAAGUAGAGUGAUCGAAAGAUGAAAAGCACUUUGGAAAGAGAGUUAAAAAGUACGUGAAAUUGUUGAAAGGGAAGCGCUUGCAACCAGACUUGUCCGCAGUUGCUCAGCCGGUCUCCUGACCGGCGUACUCUUCUGCGGCCAGGCCAGCAUCAGUUCGGGCGGUCGGAUAAAGGCCUCGGGAAUGUAGCUCCUCUCGGGGAGUGUUAUAGCCCGGGGUGGAAUGCGACCAGCCUGGACUGAGGAUCUCGGUUCGGCAAGGAUGCUGGCGU
RNAcentral lists this ribosomal RNA (350 nucleotides) under Lasiodiplodia pseudotheobromae. RNAcentral describes it as "partial large subunit ribosomal RNA". It matches the Rfam family "Eukaryotic large subunit ribosomal RNA", at positions 265 to 632 of the family's 3401-position model. The record is from RNAcentral. Lineage: Eukaryota; Fungi; Ascomycota; Dothideomycetes; Botryosphaeriales; Botryosphaeriaceae.